CAGCCGCCGCGGUAAUACGAAGGGUGCAAGCGUUAAUCGGAAUUACUGGGCGUAAAGCGUGCGUAGGCGGUUUGUUAAGUCUGCUGUGAAAUCCCCGGGCUCAACCUGGGAAUGGCAGUGGAUACUGGCAAGCUGGAGUGUGUCAGAGGAUGGUGGAAUUCCCGGUGUAGCGGUGAAAUGCGUAGAGAUCGGGAGGAACAUCAGUGGCGAAGGCGGCCAUCUGGGACAACACUGACGCUGAGGUACGAAAGCGUGGGGAGCAAACAGGAUUAGAUACCCCUGUAGUCCCUGUCUCUUAUAC
Molecule: ribosomal RNA, 301 nt
Filed under: uncultured bacterium
Lineage: Bacteria
Description: partial 16S ribosomal RNA
Rfam family: Bacterial small subunit ribosomal RNA
Source: RNAcentral